This 85-nucleotide transfer RNA is filed under the name Mesostigma viride. Its description in RNAcentral is "tRNA-Leu". It matches the Rfam family "tRNA". From Rfam's summary of the family: Transfer RNA (tRNA) molecules are approximately 80 nucleotides in length. Their secondary structure includes four short double-helical elements and three loops (D, anti-codon, and T loops). The record is from RNAcentral. Lineage: Eukaryota; Viridiplantae; Streptophyta; Mesostigmatophyceae; Mesostigmatales; Mesostigmataceae.
ACUCGUUUGGUGGAAUGGUAGACGCGGUAGAUUCAAAAUCUAUUUUUUUUUAUAAAAAAUAUCGGUUCAAGUCCGAUAACGAGUA